Molecule: ribosomal RNA, 497 nt
Filed under: uncultured bacterium
Lineage: Bacteria
Description: bacterial SSU rRNA
Rfam family: Bacterial small subunit ribosomal RNA
Source: RNAcentral
GGCUCAGAUUGAACGCUGGCGGCAUGCUUUACACAUGCAAGUCGAACGGCAGCGACGGGGGCUUGCUCCUGGUGGCGAGUGGCGAACGGGUGAGUAAUGCAUCGGAACGUACCCAGUAGUGGGGGAUAGCCCGGCGAAAGCCGGAUUAAUACCGCAUAUUUCCUGAGGGAGAAAGGCGGGGGACCUUCGGGCCUCGCGCUACUGGAGCGGCUGAUGUCGGAUUAGCUAGUUGGUGAGGUAAAGGCUCACCAAGGCGACGAUCCGUAGCUGGUCUGAGAGGAUGAUCAGCCACACUGGGACUGAGACACCGGCCCAGACUCCUACGGGAGGCAGCAGGUGGGGAAUUCUGGACAAUGGGGGCAACCCUGAUCCAGCCAUGCCGCGUGAGUGAAGAAGGCCUUCGGGUUGUAAAGCUCUUUCAGGUGGAAAGAAAUCACUACCCCGAAUACGGGUGGUGGAUGACGGUACCAUCAGAAGAAGCACCGGCUAACUACGUG